RNAcentral lists this ribosomal RNA (497 nucleotides) under uncultured bacterium. RNAcentral's name for it is "partial 16S ribosomal RNA". It matches the Rfam family "Bacterial small subunit ribosomal RNA", at positions 28 to 507 of the family's 1533-position model. The record is from RNAcentral.
GAUGAACGCUGGCGGCGUGCCUAAUACAUGCAAGUCGAGCGAAUGGACGAGAAGCUUGCUUCUCUGAUGUUAGCGGCGGACGGGUGAGUAACACGUGGAUAACCUACCUAUAAGACUGGGAUAACUUCGGGAAACCGGAGCUAAUACCGGAUAAUAUUUUGAACCGCAUGGUUCAAAAGUGAAAGACGGUCUUGCUGUCACUUAUAGAUGGAUCCGCGCUGCAUUAGCUAGUUGGUAAGGUAACGGCUUACCAAGGCAACGAUGCAUAGCCGACCUGAGAGGGUGAUCGGCCAAACUGGAACUGAGACACGGUCCAGACUCCUACGGGAGGCAGCAGUAGGGAAUCUUCCGCAAUGGGCGAAAGCCUGACGGAGCAACGCCGCGUGAGUGAUGAAGGUCUUCGGAUCGUAAAACUCUGUUAUUAGGGAAGAACAUAUGUGUAAGUAACUGUGCACAUCUUGACGGUACCUAAUCAGAAAGCCACGGCUAACUACGUG